Molecule: long non-coding RNA, 1186 nt
Filed under: Homo sapiens (human)
Lineage: Eukaryota; Metazoa; Chordata; Mammalia; Primates; Hominidae
Description: HSALNT0252429
Source: RNAcentral
CUUGACUUUGGAAUCAGCGAAAGAGAUAUUAGCAAAAGUGGUAUGAUGAAACUGACACUCCAUAUGUGCUUUAUGGAGUUGUGUUUUCCUGAUUCUUCAUGGUCCAUGUAGAUGUGUUGAUGUCUGUGCAACUGAAGGAACAAUCACCUCUUCCAGUAUUUAUAGACUGCUUUUUGCAGGUCUGCAGGCCUGCCUCUGUGAGUACAGAUGGGUUUGUCUCCAGUGUGUGGGUACACCUGCCUGUGGACUGAGCUGAUCAGGGUUGAAGCUAGGUCACAGAGAUGCUUCAGGAGUUGAAGUUGGAACUGCAGUCAGCCAGCCUGUUACCCAAGAGACAAGCAGAAUACAUUAUCUUUUGUUUUAUGCUGAAGUAGAGUGCAGCAAGCAAAAAGCAGCAAAAGACACAUAAUCAAAGUACUUGGAAUGCUGACUGUAAAAUUAUGCUGAGAACUGGCUGCAUGAUAAGAUGCUUUUCCUUCCUCUUUGUUAUUUGUAUUAUUUUGUAAAGAUAGGCCAGUGUGAGUAUGUCCAAAUAAGCUAAUAAUCUAUUUCCCUUAAAAUUUCAGCAAAUAUUCAAGAGAAUAAAAAUGUAAGUUAUUGUCCACACAGCUAAUGUUAAUUUUUCAUUAACAUAAUUUAAGUCUCGGUGAUAGUUUGAAAAUGUUCAUAAUGUUCAUUAUCUAAUAAAAUAGAUAAUUGUGGAAUUAUCUAACUCGUAGAAGAUUAAUUGUGGAAGAGUUGUUUGUAUAUUUGUAACUGUCUCGUUUUUAGUAAAACCAAUUUUUUUUUCUGAGUUAAAAUAUUAAACAAUGAAAAAGUAAACUCAAUAAAUGUAAUUCAGUGCCUUGCAUAAUAGAAAAAUGUUAACAAGGUAAAAGCUGUUAAAAUUGGGAUGGUUUCAAAUUUUAAUGUGAAAAUUUCUGUGAUAAUUUAAUCUGCUAAUAUAAUGUUUAACUCUAGAUCUCUUUCUUGUGACAUGGCUCGAUGCAAUUUAGGUUGCUGUCAUUAAAAUUCUACAAGCACAUCAUACAGGCCUAUCUGCAGUGUACCCAUUUCUGCUCUACCUAUGUACAUACCUAAACCUGAAAACAGGGUUGGAGCUCACUUCUUAUGUUCAUCUCCUUGCCCUCCCAUGCUCAUUUGCAGCAUAGUCAGAUGAAGUAUAGUUAACAAACUUAUAGCAAAG